UUCAUGGAAAUCUCCGUGGGAAACCCUCACUUUCCCCAUCAGAAAUGCCUGUCUUGGGAAAAUCUGGCACUGGAUUUAACGUCCCUUCCAACCCAAACCAUUCUGGCGUUCCAGUCAGCUAUGGAAAGCAAACUCCACGGCUCAGGAGACAGGCAAAAAACCCCAGUACAGAAAGGGGGUCACCCUAUUAUUGCCCAGCCCGUGGUGUGUCUGAUCACCUGCACUUGGGAAGGUGUUGUGAGUGCAAGCAGCCACUGCUGCUGCUUUGAAUACAGCUGGGCAGUUUUUGUUCAUGGGAAGGAGCACUUCAAGAGAGCCUCUCCUCUACAACCCCUGGAGAAGACUUAUUUCACCCUUAUCUAUCACACAUGCAGAUGCCAGGACCUAGAAGAGAAAUAACUGCUGGAUUCCUCGUUGCCUCCUUGGCCCAGGAGCCUGUGCAAGACCCCCCUCCAUCGUGAUCAUCAGAGAACUGCUCUAGGAAUGGAGCCUUUCCAGGCGUGGUGGGGUGUUGUAUGGAUGUUUUGUAUGAAACUCAGUUAAAAUCUGGAGAUAAAUUUAACUUGGAGACCUCAAUUGCUGGCACAGCAGUUGAUCAGUUCACCCUCGUGCUUUCAACUCAACAGCCUCCAGUGACCUAAUCAAGAUGUAUUUUAAAUAUAUGUUGCUGCUUCUAUGCAAUUUAGCAAAUAUAUUCCUCCUGCUCCUUUGCCUGCCUUUCCACAGACGACGUCUUAACAGCUUGAGUGAUGUUGCUUUUAUGAUGCACAAGUCAUUUUACCAAACAGCAGGAUAAAAGUUUGUUCAGGCAGGAAUUUCAUUAACUUCAGAGUCCCUGUUACACUUAGUGGCGUCAGGCUUGGCAUGUGGGAAUAAUGGGUUCCAGGGCCUGGAAUUUCUAUCGUUUUCCAUCCAGUUUAUUUAAAAAUCAUUGAAUGGAUUAUAAAAGGCUGCAAAACAAUGAGUGCACUGUUGUUUCUUACUGUUUGUUGCUGCACCCAGAUGUUUGGUGUUUCGGGUUCCCCCAGGAGAGCUUUGGGGUGCCGCAGAGGGAAAUGCAUCCUGUAAAACAAUUCCUGAAUCUUGCUUUUCUCCUCAUAAAACAGAAGGUGAAUAUUUGGGAAUGGGAUGCAGCAGCAGCAAGGUUCUGAUGGAGUUGAUGGUGCUGGUGAACGUUGGCACUGUGUGGUUUUGUCCGCCGGGCUCUGUGCAGAGCGGGAACAUCUUGCUUUGCAGGGGGGAAACUGAGGAAACCUGACAUCCCCCAGUGCCAAACCAACCCAGACCUGGGAUCGACCCUUUUUUUUCCCCAUCCCAAAGCCAGUGUUUCCUGUGUGCCUUGCACCACAUCCCCCCUGAGGGAUGCCCAUUACUCUUCGCCCCCAGCUCUGCACACGCUGUGGGAAGAAAGUGAUGGGGACCAGUGGUGUGGAGUCAUUGGCUCUGAGCCUCCCAGUGGGCUCCCACCCGUGGAAUUUACAUUAAAAAGAGACCCAUCUAAACCAGAUUUGCUCCCAGA
Myiozetetes cayanensis is the source of this 1519-nucleotide long non-coding RNA. RefSeq lists it as uncharacterized. The transcript has 3 exons. The record is from RefSeq and is a predicted model, not a curated record. NCBI's taxonomy places the organism in Eukaryota, Metazoa, Chordata, Aves, Passeriformes, Tyrannidae.